Molecule: non-coding RNA, 1267 nt
Organism: Podarcis lilfordi (Lilford's wall lizard)
Lineage: Eukaryota; Metazoa; Chordata; Lepidosauria; Squamata; Lacertidae
Source: the annotation of a GenBank genome assembly
CACCACAUUGGCUUAGAACAGGGCUGGCUCAACCAUAGGGCAGAGUGAGACAGGACAGUUGAUUAUGGGUGUCAUGAAAGAGCAGAAGACUGGUGCUUUAAAAACUUCUUAUUACAAUAUUUUUACUUAUGGGAAGAGAUGCUUAUGGGAUUUUUCUGCGGCAAGUGCCAAAAUUCCUUGGUCAGCCUUGGCUGCUAUGCAGCUCUUUGAGUGAAGGGGUGUCCUUUUCUUGUUCUGCCUCAGGCAGCCAAAUGUCUUGGGAUGGCCUUAUAUCUAAUGCAUGUGAAAUAAUGUGUGUGGACAGAGCAUAACUGUGCUCUGCGUUGCUUCCAUCCAGUAGUGUUGUGGCAAAUUCAGAAGUGCAGCAUCCCUUCAUGAUGCUCACACUAUUGACCCCUCAUAGCCACCCCCUUCUAAGAUUAUACAGUAAUCUUAUAAUUUUACAAUUAUGCAAUAAUAAUAAUUAGGAGUGCAUUGCAACCAUCAGUGCAGAUCUCACAUGCUGCCAUUCAGCUAGAUCUGCUAUUUUCUGUGCAAGUACAUGGGCACGUACAUGAUUUGGAGGGCUGCAAUACCUUCUUUCGGAGCGACUCAGGUUGUGUUUUCUCUGAAGCUCAAUUGUAUGUCGCAGAACUUGUAUCCCGGUCACUUGAAACUGAAGCCCCUUGUGUUUUCGGUGUUCCUAAAUGCUGUGCUUUGGAGCAUAUGGUAGUAGCUAAAAAGUGCACCUAUUAUGCUGAUUGGGUGACUCUAGGAUGCUGGAGAGAGGGACCCUACUGCAGAAAUAGCAAUGAGUCUUAUGCCCCCCAUGUUCCCAGACCACCACACCACUGUUUCCAUCUCAUCUCCCAGAAUCAUCUGUAUGAAAUAUGGGCAGGCUUUUUGCUAGUUGGAUCAACUGCUUGCUAAAACUCAGGACUGUAAGGAGGCAGCGAUUCCUGUCCUCCUGAUCGUCCCAAUUAGCUACAGUUUGUCUUCCACUUAAACCUACAUCUUGCUAUCUGCUAUGGCCAACACUAAUGUAGUUAAUAAUGUAAUCGAUUUCUGUGAAUUUCAAUGGAAGGAAAAUGUCAAAAACCAUGCGGAAAGUAAUGCCAUUAUUUCUGUGCUCGUUCACAGACAAAGAAGAGAACAAUAGUGAAUACCACAUGGGUUCGCUUGUGUGGCUUCUUUUCCUGGCCUUGGAUGGACAUGCCAAUGGCAGCAAUUUCCCCUCCCGUUUCCAUUUCUGAUGGAAUUCACUGACGGACCUACAGUAAAACUCCCA